This 488-nucleotide ribosomal RNA is filed under the name uncultured bacterium. Its description in RNAcentral is "bacterial SSU rRNA". It matches the Rfam family "Bacterial small subunit ribosomal RNA", at positions 18 to 518 of the family's 1533-position model. The record is from RNAcentral.
GAUGGCUUAGAACGAACGCUGGUGGCGUGUCUUAUACAUGCAAGUCGAGCGAGGCAGCAAUGCCGAGCGGCGAACGGGUGAGUAACGCGUAAGCAAUCUGCCCCAUAUCAGGAAAUACCCGUGCCAACGCGCGGUUAAUGUCCAGGAGAGUGGCCUUCCGCAUGGAGGGUUGACUAGAGAUUUAUCGGUAUGGGAUGAGCUUGCGUCCGAUUAGCUAGUUGGCGGGGCAACGGCCCACCAAGGCGACGAUCGGUAGCCGGCCUGAGAGGGUGAUCGGCCACAUUGGGACUGAGAUACGGCCCAGACUCCUACGGGAGGCAGCAGUAGGGAAUAUUGCACAAUGGGGGAAACCCUGAUGCAGCAACGCCACGUGUGGGAAGAAGCAUUUCGGUGUGUAAACCACUGUCAUGAGGGAAUAAGGCCCGCCUUCGGACGGGAUUGAAUGUACCUUGAGAGGAAGCACCGGCAAACUUCGUGCCAGCCGCAGC